CACGCAGCCUCCUUCUCACAGGCCGAUUCCCCUACAGCCGCCGCACUCCCACGCCCGCCCCCGGUCGCACCCACGCCAAAACCCUAGCGCUCCACUACCGGCCGGCGUCGGCAACGAAGCAGGACGCCCUCGUCUGGCUUCUGCUCCUUCUCCGACCACCACGCGCGACAUGGACCCCCUCGUCGGUGGUCCGGUCCGGUGCUCUCCUCCACGGCUCCGACCCAUCCGCGCCGAGCUCACCCGGCCGUGCCCGCUGGGGAUGUUCACCUGGAAAUUCAUGUACUGAAUAUCAACCAAGGAUGGGCAGCGGCAUGGCGGCUAGACCACGGUGGAGCUGAUGCGGCCAGCCAACGAGCCAUGGCUCCGGGACCCUGACGGUCGGUCGGAUGCCGGUGUCCUUGGGGCCUCGAUCAUCUGCAAGUGCAAGGAGUUCAACCGGAAACAAGCUUGGGGUUGCCUCCAUCCAGUGGCGACAGGGCACCCUCCUCCCCACGUUCUCCUCCUCCGCAGCAGGUUUUCACAAUGCACUGGCUUCGUCCUCGACAGUAACAAGGCCAUGAAAACGCUGAUGCGCGCAAUUUACUUUUAUCUUGACUCCGCGUUGUUGUGUCGUAUGGCAACAGUCGCAAUUUAUAGCCUUCUCGUCAUCAACAAGUCUGGUCACUUAUAUAGUACAAAAGGACUAUGGGUUGGCCUGGAGAAUGGACACCAACGGCAGUCUACAAUUUGCAAGCCACUGGCAUUUGAUGCAUGCUAUCUCGCAUCAGUUGUCCCCUACCAUUGGUUGUAACGGCAUUGAUAUCCUAGGCCUGCAGCUUCGACCUCUAGUACUUCUUCCAAUCUCUCGAAGAGGUGCAGGAAGAGAAAGGUUUGAUCUUUGGCGUCCAUGGCCACAACAUAGCAACCGACUGGAACACGUAGAGCAGAGCUGAUGUGGUCAGCCGACAAGCCGUGGCCCUUGGACCCUCACCAACUCAGCCAUCCUCGGGCCCUUCCUAUGUUGCACGGUUAUAUUUUUUUUCCAGCUGUUCAAUCGGAAACAAGGUGCCAAAUUGGCUUGCAGCCAUCGGACCUGGAGAAAUACUCAGCUAGGUCUGGGGCAUAGCUAUAGCAGUCCGUCCUGAACAUCAGCAGUUUCAGCACUUCUCUGAUGACCACUCCAAAUAUCUUCUGCAGCGGCGUCAGCGGUGAUACAGGGGUGCGUGGGGUUGUCAAGGACAAGGGGACCUACCGCAAGAGGUAAAUGGUUAGUUGCAGCAG
Lolium perenne is the source of this 1260-nucleotide long non-coding RNA. RefSeq lists it as uncharacterized. Lineage: Eukaryota; Viridiplantae; Streptophyta; Magnoliopsida; Poales; Poaceae. The record is from RefSeq and is a predicted model, not a curated record.